CCUGGCUCAGGGCGAACGCUGGCGGCGGGCCUAACACAUGCAAGUCGUACGCGGGGUUCUCCUUCGGGAGAACUGCCGAGUGGCGAACGGGUGCGUAACGCGUAGGUAACCUGCCCUCGAGUGGGGGAUAACUCCGGGAAACCGGGGCUAAUACCGCAUAUUGUCCCGGGACCGCAUGGCUCCGGGAUGAAAGCCCUCUGGGCGCUCGAGGAUGGGCCUGCGUCGGAUUAGCUAGUUGGUGGGGUAACGGCCCACCAAGGCGACGAUCCGUAGCUGGUCUGAGAGGACGACCAGCCACACUGGCACUGAGACACGGGCCAGACUCCUACGGGAGGCAGCAGUGGGGAAUCUUGGGCAAUGGGCGAAAGCCUGACCCAGCCACGCCGCGUGGAGGAUGAAGCCCUUCGGGGUGUAAACUCCUUUUCUGGGGGAAGAAAUCCCGGCUCUGGUCGGGACUGACGGUACCCCAGGAAUAAGCGCCGGCUAACUCCGUGCCAGCAGCCGCGGUAAUACGGAGGGCGCAAGCGUUGCCCGGAAUCACUGGGUGUAAAGGGUGCGUAGGCGGGGCUGUAAGUCAGAGGUGAAAGCCUCCGGCUCAACCGGAGAAUUGCCUCUGAUACUGCAGCUCUUGAGUCCCGGAGAGGCCGCUGGAAUUCCUGGUGUAGCGGUGAAAUGCGUAGAUAUCAGGAGGAACACCGGAGGCGAAGGCGGGCGGCUGGACGGGGACUGACGCUGAGGCACGAAAGCGUGGGGAGCAAACAGGAUUAGAUACCCUGGUAGUCCACGCCGUAAACGAUGGAUGCUCGGCGUUGCCGCCUUCGGGCGGCAGUGCCUAAGCUAACGCGGUAAGCAUCCCACCUGGGGAGUAC
RNAcentral lists this ribosomal RNA (869 nucleotides) under uncultured bacterium. RNAcentral's name for it is "bacterial SSU rRNA". It matches the Rfam family "Bacterial small subunit ribosomal RNA", at positions 18 to 883 of the family's 1533-position model. The record is from RNAcentral.